Molecule: ribosomal RNA, 253 nt
Filed under: uncultured bacterium
Lineage: Bacteria
Description: partial 16S ribosomal RNA
Rfam family: Bacterial small subunit ribosomal RNA
Source: RNAcentral
UACGGAGGGUGCGAGCGUUGUCCGGAAUCACUGGGCGUAAAGGGCGCGUAGGCGGCCUGAUAAGUUGGGGGUGAAAUCCUGCGGCUUAACCGCAGGGCUGCCUUCUAAACUGUCAGGCUCGAGCACAGUAGAGGCAGGUGGAAUUCCCGGUGCAGCGGUGGAAUGCGUAGAGAUCGGGAAGAACAUCAGUGGCGAAGGCGGCCUGCUGGGCUGUUGCUGACGCUGAGGCGCGACAGCGUGGGGAGCAAACAGG